RNAcentral lists this non-coding RNA (27 nucleotides) under Rattus norvegicus (Norway rat). The record is from RNAcentral. Lineage: Eukaryota; Metazoa; Chordata; Mammalia; Rodentia; Muridae.
UUCAAAUUAAAAACCGAACAGCACAUC